Molecule: ribosomal RNA, 236 nt
Filed under: uncultured bacterium
Lineage: Bacteria
Description: partial 16S ribosomal RNA
Rfam family: Bacterial small subunit ribosomal RNA
Source: RNAcentral
GAUCAUGGCUCAGGAUGAACGCUGGCGGCGUGCCUAACACAUGCAAGUCGAACGGAGUUCUUAAGGAAUGCGACUUCGGUCAAAUGACUUUUGAACUUAGUGGCGGACGGGUGAGUAACGCGUGAGCAACCUGCCUUUCAGAGGGGGAUAACAUUUGGAAACAGAUGCUAAUACCGCAUAAGAUUACAGUACCGCAUGAUACAGUGAUCAAAGGAGCAAUCCGCUAGAAAGAUGGG